CCUACGGGUGACAGCAGUGGGGGAUAUUGCACAAUGGGGGAAACCCUGAUGCAGCGACGCCGCGUGAGUGAAGAAGGCUUUCGGUAUGUAAAGCUCUAUCAGCAGGGAAGAAAAUGACAGUACCUGACCAAGAAGCCCCGGCUAACUACGUGCCAGCAGCCGCGGUAAUACGUAGGGGGCAAGCGUUUUCCGGAUUUACUGGGGGUAAAGGGAGCGUAGACGGUUAUGUAAGUCUGGAGUGAAAUCCCGGGGCCCAACCCCGGGAUUGCUAUGGAAACUGUGUGACUGGAGUACAGGAGAGGCAGGCGGAAUUCCUGGUGUAGCGGUGAAAUGCGUAGAUAUCAGGAGGAACACCGGCGGCGAAGGCGGCCUGCUGGACUGCAACUGACGUUGAGGCUCGAAAGCGUGGGGAGCAAACAGGAUUAGAUACCCUUGUAGUC
RNAcentral lists this ribosomal RNA (440 nucleotides) under uncultured bacterium. RNAcentral describes it as "partial 16S ribosomal RNA". It matches the Rfam family "Bacterial small subunit ribosomal RNA", at positions 338 to 795 of the family's 1533-position model. The record is from RNAcentral.